AUUGAACGCUGGCGGCAGGCCUAACACAUGCAAGUCGAGCGAGCAGCGGACGGGUUACUAAUGUAUGGGGACUGCCCGCUAGAGGGGGAUAACUACUGGAAACGGUGGCUAAUCCCUCCUACUAUCCGCUCCCCCAUAUGGGAUUGGCUAGUAGGUGGGGUAAAGGCUCACAUAGGCGACGAUCUCUAGCUGGUCUGAGAGGAUGAUCAGCAACACUGGGAAUGAGACACGGGCCAGACUCCUACGGAGGCAGCAGUGGGGAAUAUUUCACAAGGGGCGAAAGCCUGAUGCAGCAAUGCCGCGUGUAUGAAGAAGGCCUUAGGGGUGUAAAGUACUUUCAGCGGGGAGGCGUUACCCGCAGAAGAAGCACCGGCUAACUCCGUGCCAGCAGCCGCGGUAAUAC
RNAcentral lists this ribosomal RNA (403 nucleotides) under uncultured bacterium. Its description in RNAcentral is "partial 16S ribosomal RNA". It matches the Rfam family "Bacterial small subunit ribosomal RNA", at positions 30 to 526 of the family's 1533-position model. The record is from RNAcentral.